RNA transcript from Melospiza melodia melodia, 5033 nucleotides. It is a transcript of the gene named semaphorin 4D, with no coding region annotated. The record is from RefSeq and is a predicted model, not a curated record. Lineage: Eukaryota; Metazoa; Chordata; Aves; Passeriformes; Passerellidae. The transcript has 20 exons.
GGCGGAGAGAGCAGGAGGCGGCGGCGAGGGAGCGGUCGGCACUGGGGCAGCGACCGUCCGUGCCCGCCGCGCCUUCUCGCGCCGAGAAAGGACGUUUUUCUGACGGCUUUCCAGCUCUGGGGUGUGCAGGAGGCUCCGAAGGGUGGCAGCAUCAUUUAUUUCUCUGGUGAAACAGAAGAAUGCGCUCAGUCACACUUCUCAGCAGCUCUGCAGCCUGUGGAGCGUGUGGGCAGUCUGUGUAUGCAGCAUCCUGGAAAAUGUGCGUUCUCUUGAAGUGAUCUGCUGAAAAGCACGUACUUGUACAGUUGUUCCAGCCUCCCUUGUUGUGUUGCUCUCAAGAGCUGAAAUGCCUGGUCUCUAAUACUCCCUGGGGUCUCCAUUUCAUCUGCCAAAGAAACACUACCUGCUGCAGUUACCCAGUGAACCCCGAAGAGCAGGGACACUGAAGAUGGCUCUGUGUGCUUUUUAUGCUGUUUGGGGUUUGUUGCUAGAAGUGGCAAUAGCAUUUGGCCCAGUGCCAAGGAUCACUUGGGAACACAAAGAGGUCCAGCUAAUACAUUUUAAUGACUCAAAAGUGUCAAACUAUUCAACCUUGCUGUUAAGUGAAGACAAAAACGUUCUGUAUGUAGGAGCCCGGGAAGUGAUCUUUGCCUUAAACGCGGUGAAUAUUGCUGAGAAGCAGCACGAGUUGCACUGGAAGGUCACAGAAGAUAAAAGGACUAAAUGUGCAGUUAAGGGCAAAUCAGAACAGACAGAAUGUCGUAAUUACGUGCGUGUCUUGCAACAGCUGAAUGAUACUUUCCUCUACGUGUGUGGAACUAAUGCAUUUCAGCCAACGUGUGAUUACCUGAAUUUAAUUUCAUUUGAACUUGGAGGUAAAAAUGAAGAUGGUAAGGGCAGAUGUCCAUUUGAUCCUGCUCAAAGCUACACAUCUGUUAUGGUUGAUGAGGAGCUUUAUUCUGGGACUUCAUACAAUUUCUUGGGAAGUGAACCUAUUAUUUCACGUCACUCUCAUCAGAGCCCGCUGAGAACAGAGUAUGCAAUACCUUGGCUUAAUGAGCCCAACUUUGUUUUUGCUGACGUGAUAAGAGCAGAUCCAAACAGCACAGAUGGAGAAGAUGACAAGAUAUACUUCUUUUUCACUGAGGUGUCUGUGGAGUAUGAAUUUGUUGGAAAGUUGAUGAUUCCAAGAAUAGCUAGAGUAUGCAAGAGGGACCAAGGAGGAUUAAGGACCUUGCAAAAGAAAUGGACUUCGUUUCUCAAGGCCAGAAUGAUUUGCACCAUCCCUGAUAAGAAUUUAAUUUUCAAUGUUAUCAAUGAUGUUUUUAUUCUCAAAUCUCCGACUUUGAAGGAACCAGUGAUAUAUGGAGUCUUCACCCCACAACUGAAUAAUGUGGGGUUGUCAGCAGUGUGUGCAUACAAUCUGUCUACUGUAGAAGAGGUUUUCUCAAAAGGAAAAUACAUGCAGAGUGCUACAGUGGAACAGUCCCAUACAAAGUGGGUGCGAUACAAUGGGGAAAUUCCGAAUCCUCGACCUGGUGCGUGUAUAAACAAUGAAGCCAGAGCAUCAAACUACAUGAGUUCUCUGAAUUUACCAGACAAAACAUUGCAGUUUGUUAAAGAUCAUCCUCUAAUGGAUGACUCAGUGACCCCAAUGGGAGACAGACCUCGCCUAGUAAAGCGAGAUGUGAAGUAUACACAGAUUGUAGUUGACAGAGUCAGAGCACUCAAUGGCACCAUCUAUGAUGUUAUGUUCAUCGGUACAGAUCGAGGAGCCCUGCACAAAGCUAUCAGCUAUGAAAAUGGAAUGCAUAUUAUUGAAGAAACACAGCUUUUUCCAAAUUUUGAACCAGUCCAAACUCUCUUGCUUUCGUCCAAAACAGGCAGAAGAUACCUCUUUGCUGGUUCAAAUUCUGGUGUGGUGCAGUCUCCAUUGGCAUUUUGUGACAAGUACACCACUUGUGUUGACUGUAUUUUAGCAAGGGAUCCUUACUGUGCUUGGAAACCACUUGAAGCUUCCUGCAUUGAUAUUUUUAAAGAAGGUGAAAUGGAAAGGAACUGGAUUCAAAACAUAGGUGGAGAUGCAUCUUCUUGUUCUGAUAAAGUAAGAGAGAAUCCCCUACAGCAUACAUUCAAGCAUGGGAGCACAGCAGAACUCAAGUGUUCUCAAAAGUCCAAUCUGGCACAGGUAGUUUGGAAGUUCAAAGAUGAUGUGCUGAGAGUGGAGAGUCCCAAGUACCGUCUGCUGGAGAAGGCACUGCUCAUCUUCAAUUUAUCAGAAGGAGACAGUGGUGUUUACCAAUGUUUGUCAGAAGAAAAAGUGAAAAAUAAAAAAUUUUCCCAAGUGCUGGCUAAGCAUGUUUUGGAACUGAAAAAAAUGCAGCAUACCACGGUGGGCCCCACUGCAACAGCUGCACCAACAGAAGCCUCAUCUCCUAUACCUUUCCCUCCUACUGGUACCUCCUUUUUGUCCUGUGUGGGAACUGAUUCACCUCCUUCACCCACCAGUACCCAGCCUGAUGUUCGGUCUAGCAAAGACCCCGUAAAGGUCAUGUUGUUGCCACCUUUCCUAAGUGACCAGGCACAGCAUGUUAGUGUCCGGGGACCCUUCCACCUCUUCUGCCAAGCCACAGCUGUCUGGAAACUCAGCAGGAGUUGGUGAGUUAUUUUGUUCAUCUCUUACUCAUCCCACAUGUUUUAACCUGAAAACUUGCCUGGGGAUAAGUCUUUACAACCUUGUAACUGGCUCAUUUCCAUAAGGUAAAGUUAAAUGGAUACAGCACGAACAGCAUUAGUGUCAAACUGCUAUUUUUUUCUGAAAAAUAAGUUUUUUCAAGCAUGGAAUACUCCUGCUCUUCUGGAAAAGGGAGGAAUAAAUCUCCCUUGGCAAAUUUGCUCCCAGUUUGUCUCUGCUCCCCCAGAGAUUCUCACAUUUCUCCAGAAACCUGUCUGCUGUAUGUGAAUGUGCGAACAUUAGGUUUGUGUGCUUUCUCUAAUAUAAGUUUUCUCUCCCAUUACAGAAUUCUAAAAACUUUUAGAGGCAGUUCAGGCGAGUUUCAGAUAAAUUGAACAAAAUACUGCACCGUCUGGUUCAGGGAGAGACAGUGAGUUGGUGGUGCACGCACUUGCUGUAUAAUUUCUCUGGUGUGCUCUGCUGGAAUUAGGUAUAGUAGGAACGGGUUUUUUCCAGAGUUUUGGUUUUGCUGGAAGAUGCUUUACUGGCACCUCCUCCCCCAGCUUUAGAAUAGUAUCUCCAUGUCCAUAAUUUCACAGACUAAACUAAAAUAUGGUGAGUGUGCUGUGCAGUAGUUUAAAUGCUUUUAUAAUCAAACGCUGAAGAACCCUGUGCUUCACCUGCAUAUCAAGCCUCUCUGUGUACAUGGUGUCAAGAUGAUACCCUCCCUUGAUUCAUCUGUAGCUGGAGAUUUUACAUUUUGGAUUGUUUUCAUUCUUGGCAAAUUAAAACAGUAGUUUCGACAUAAAAGUUCUGUGAACUUGAAAAUACACUUUCAAGGAGUUACUGUUUCAUGGAGAUACUGAGAUGAGUAUCUGAUAACAUGUACAAUGCCUGUUCCCUGUGGUUAUGCUAUUUUGGGAGUACAAGAAAGCUUCCCACAUCUGUAGAAGAAAAGAUCCAUAACUUGCAAGAAUCGUAAUUGCAAGUAGAUCACUAGAGAUUCCUCUUCGGUGGAGCCUGAAGAGGAAAGACCUGCAGAAGGGUGGGGAAGUUUUUUUUUCCUCAGGAGGAGGAGGUCACCUGUCAGAGACUGGCUUACCCAUGGAAAUGAGUAAUUCAUUCUUGGGGGAGGAUUUUUUGCAUCAUUUGCACGAUUGCAUCAGCCGUGGUGCCCUGGGGUGGUCUGGUGUGGUGUAGACUCAGUCAGGAGCGGCGUGGAGGUGUGCAGCAGCCAGAGCAGAAUGAGCCUGCCUAGGAAUGUUCUUUGUGCUGGGAAAAGUGUCUGUCCAGAGUGACAAAUGACAGCAUUUACAUUACAGCAUAUCACUGUCUUACUAUUGACUUUACUUGGGUUGUUACUUCUCUCUUCUUACAAGAACACCAAUAUCAAAUAGCACUUUUUCAUACACUUGUGUUUUAUAACCAGUUGAAGUUGGUAAGUGGCUCUUGAUUACAGCUUUGGAGAGAUAUAAUGUUACUUUUUGAAAUGUGAGAAUGAUUUAAUUGGUAGCCUUAAAAGGAAAAGCUCUGAAUCUUCUAGGACAAACCGAUCCACUGAACAAAUAUUUCAACACUUUAGAAGAUUUUCAAAAUUUUAUAGUAUAUUUUGAGAUUUGAGCAGUGAUGCUUUCAUGAAGCAAUACCAUGACUUUAAUCUGUAUGCUUAAUAAAUGGCUGGUUUAUCUUCCUGUGGGUAAGUUUGCACCUUGUUAAACAAUUUCAUAUCCCACCUUAUUAAUUGUCGCCUCAACAGAUCUUUUAUCAUGUGCUAUUUGGUUUAAUUUCACUGUAUUUGGCUAGUAAUUUCUUAGCCUUUAAUUUGUAAAUUUGUGGUUUUGUACCUCUUUUUUUCUGUUAUUUUUGCACUGAUUAUACAUUGCUUAACAACACCAUGGCACUAUCAAACAUUUCCUGUGUGCAGAUCUCUGACAUGCCACAUGUUUAUUAUUAUUUAGGAUGCAUUUGGAAAACCAAUUGAAAAAUUAAGAUUGUUCCUUUAAUAUAUGACAGAAAAGAACUUGGAAGUUUUAUAAAAUUGGAUAAAUAUUGCAGAUCCAUUUUGCAUAAAACUCACAGACAUUAAACAUACCUUUGGUACUUUAGAUUGUGUUAUCUUAGGAGUGUAAUUUUCUUACUACAAUGCUGGCAUUUAUUUUUUCAGACAUGGGGCCUGCUGAAACCCUCCUAGUUAAGUCUGCAUGCAAAACCAACAGCAUUAAACACCCUUCAUUCCUAACAUGGAUGGCAAAGUCCAGAUAACUCCUACUUUGUCUGGAGGAAGAAUGGACAAACAAUGAAGGCAUGCAUCACGGAGCAAUCUCACAUGCUGCUUGAUGGCAGAGUGCAUGUUCUCAGC